CCUACGGGUGGCUGCAGUCGAGAAUCAUUCACAAUGGGGGAAACCCUGAUGGUGCGACGCCGCGUGGGGGAAUGAAGGUCUUCGGAUUGUAAACCCCUGUCAUGUGGGAGCAAAUUAAAAAGAUAGUACCACAAGAGGAAGAGACGGCUAACUCUGUGCCAGCAGCCGCGGUAAUACAGAGGUCUCAAGCGUUGUUCGGAAUCACUGGGCGUAAAGCGUGCGUAGGCUGUUUCGUAAGUCGUGUGUGAAAGGCGCGGGCUCAACCCGCGGACGGCACAUGAUACUGGGAGACUAGAGUAAGGGAGGGGGAACCGGAAUUCUCGGUGUAGCAGUGAAAUGCGUAGAUAUCGAGAGGAACACUCGUGGCGAAGGCGGGUUCCUGGACAUUAACUGACGCUGAGGCACGAAGGCCAGGGGAGCGAAAGGGAUUAGAUACCCGAGUAGUC
RNAcentral lists this ribosomal RNA (446 nucleotides) under uncultured bacterium. RNAcentral describes it as "partial 16S ribosomal RNA". It matches the Rfam family "Bacterial small subunit ribosomal RNA", at positions 338 to 795 of the family's 1533-position model. The record is from RNAcentral.